GACGAACGCUGGCGGCGUGCCUAAUACAUGCAAGUAGAACGCACAGUUUAUACCGUAGCUUGCUACACCAUAGACUGUGAGUUGCGAACGGGUGAGUAACGCGUAGGUAACCUGCCUGGUAGCGGGGGAUAACUAUUGGAAACGAUAGCUAAUACCGCAUAAUAUUAAUUAUUGCAUGAUAAUUAAUUGAAAGGUGCAAUUGCACCACUACCAGAUGGACCUGCGUUGUAUUAGCUAGUAGGUGAGGUAACGGCUCACCUAGGCGACGAUACAUAGCCGACCUGAGAGGGGGAUCGGCCAACCUGGGACUGAGACACGGCCCAGACUCCUACGGGAGGCAGCAGUAGGGAAUCUUCGGCAAUGGACGAAAGUCUGACCGAGCAACGCCGCGUGAGUGAAGAAGGUUUUCGGAUCGUAAAGCUCUGUUGUAAGAGAAGAACGGGUGUGAGAGUGGAAAGUUCACACUGUGACGGUAUCUUACCAGAAAGGGACGGCUAACUACGUG
RNAcentral lists this ribosomal RNA (505 nucleotides) under uncultured bacterium. Its description in RNAcentral is "partial 16S ribosomal RNA". It matches the Rfam family "Bacterial small subunit ribosomal RNA", at positions 28 to 507 of the family's 1533-position model. The record is from RNAcentral.